GACGAACGCUGGCGGCGUGCUUAACACAUGCAAGUCGAACGGGAACCUUUAUUUCGGUAAAGGUGAGAGUGGCAAACGGGUGAGUAACACGUAGGCAACCUGCCGACAGGAUGGGGACAACAUUCCGAAAGGAAUGCUAAUACCGAAUGGAGUCCGGAGAUGGCAUCAUCUCUGGAUAAAAGAUGGCCUCUGAAUAUGCUAUCGCCUGUCGAUGGGCCUGCGUCUGAUUAGCCAGUUGGCGGGGUAACGGCCCACCAAAGCGACGAUCAGUAGCCGGUCUGAGAGGAUGAACGGCCACAUUGGGACUGAGACACGGCCCAGACUCCUACGGGAGGCAGCAGUGGGGAAUCUUCCACAAUGGGCGAAAGCCUGAUGGAGCAACGCCGCGUGAGUGAAGAAGGUCUUCGGAUCGUAAAGCUCUGUUGCACGGGACGAAAACCGGGUUUGAGAAUAUUGA
RNAcentral lists this ribosomal RNA (457 nucleotides) under Selenomonas sp. oral taxon C23. RNAcentral describes it as "bacterial SSU rRNA". It matches the Rfam family "Bacterial small subunit ribosomal RNA", at positions 28 to 468 of the family's 1533-position model. Lineage: Bacteria; Bacillati; Bacillota; Negativicutes; Selenomonadales; Selenomonadaceae. The record is from RNAcentral.